This 520-nucleotide ribosomal RNA is filed under the name uncultured Glomus. RNAcentral's name for it is "SSU rRNA". It matches the Rfam family "Eukaryotic small subunit ribosomal RNA", at positions 569 to 1091 of the family's 1831-position model. The record is from RNAcentral. Lineage: Eukaryota; Fungi; Glomeromycota; Glomeromycetes; Glomerales; Glomeraceae.
CGCAGCCGCGGUAAUUCCAGCUCCAAUAGCGUAUAUUAAAGUUGUUGCAGUUAAAAAGCUCGUAGUUGAAUUUCGGGAUCAAUUUAUUGGUCGUGCUAUUGUACGUACUGGUAUUAUUGAUUCCUACCUUCUGACGAACCAUGAUGUCAUUAAUUUGGUGUCUUGGGGAAUCAGGACUGUUACUUUGAAAAAAUUAGAGUGUUUAAAGCAGGCUCACGCUUGAAUACAUUAGCAUGGAAUAACGAAAUAGGACGUUUGAUUCUAUUUUGUUGGUUUCUAGGAUCGACGUAAUGAUUAAUAGGGAUAGUUGGGGGCAUUAGUAUUCAAUUGUCAGAGGUGAAAUUCUUGGAUUUAUUGAAGACUAACUACUGCGAAAGCAUUUGCCAAGGAUGUUUUCAUUAAUCAAGAACGAAAGUUAGGGGAUCGAAGACGAUCAGAUACCGUCGUAGUCUUAACCAUAAACUAUGCCGACUAGGGAUCGGAUGAUGUUAAUUUUUAAUGUACUCAUUCGGCGCCUUAC